RNAcentral lists this ribosomal RNA (1552 nucleotides) under Staphylococcus aureus. RNAcentral's name for it is "16S ribosomal RNA". It matches the Rfam family "Bacterial small subunit ribosomal RNA". The record is from RNAcentral. RNAcentral also lists the same sequence under 2 other names. Lineage: Bacteria; Bacillati; Bacillota; Bacilli; Caryophanales; Staphylococcaceae.
UUUAUGGAGAGUUUGAUCCUGGCUCAGGAUGAACGCUGGCGGCGUGCCUAAUACAUGCAAGUCGAGCGAACGGACGAGAAGCUUGCUUCUCUGAUGUUAGCGGCGGACGGGUGAGUAACACGUGGAUAACCUACCUAUAAGACUGGGAUAACUUCGGGAAACCGGAGCUAAUACCGGAUAAUAUUUUGAACCGCAUGGUUCAAAAGUGAAAGACGGUCUUACUGUCACUUAUAGAUGGAUCCGCGCUGCAUUAGCUAGUUGGUAAGGUAACGGCUUACCAAGGCAACGAUGCAUAGCCGACCUGAGAGGGUGAUCGGCCACACUGGAACUGAGACACGGUCCAGACUCCUACGGGAGGCAGCAGUAGGGAAUCUUCCGCAAUGGGCGAAAGCCUGACGGAGCAACGCCGCGUGAGUGAUGAAGGUCUUCGGAUCGUAAAACUCUGUUAUUAGGGAAGAACAUAUGUGUAAGUAACUGUGCACAUCUUGACGGUACCUAAUCAGAAAGCCACGGCUAACUACGUGCCAGCAGCCGCGGUAAUACGUAGGUGGCAAGCGUUAUCCGGAAUUAUUGGGCGUAAAGCGCGCGUAGGCGGUUUUUUAAGUCUGAUGUGAAAGCCCACGGCUCAACCGUGGAGGGUCAUUGGAAACUGGAAAACUUGAGUGCAGAAGAGGAAAGUGGAAUUCCAUGUGUAGCGGUGAAAUGCGCAGAGAUAUGGAGGAACACCAGUGGCGAAGGCGACUUUCUGGUCUGUAACUGACGCUGAUGUGCGAAAGCGUGGGGAUCAAACAGGAUUAGAUACCCUGGUAGUCCACGCCGUAAACGAUGAGUGCUAAGUGUUAGGGGGUUUCCGCCCCUUAGUGCUGCAGCUAACGCAUUAAGCACUCCGCCUGGGGAGUACGACCGCAAGGUUGAAACUCAAAGGAAUUGACGGGGACCCGCACAAGCGGUGGAGCAUGUGGUUUAAUUCGAAGCAACGCGAAGAACCUUACCAAAUCUUGACAUCCUUUGACAACUCUAGAGAUAGAGCUUUCCCCUUCGGGGGACAAAGUGACAGGUGGUGCAUGGUUGUCGUCAGCUCGUGUCGUGAGAUGUUGGGUUAAGUCCCGCAACGAGCGCAACCCUUAAGCUUAGUUGCCAUCAUUAAGUUGGGCACUCUAAGUUGACUGCCGGUGACAAACCGGAGGAAGGUGGGGAUGACGUCAAAUCAUCAUGCCCCUUAUGAUUUGGGCUACACACGUGCUACAAUGGACAAUACAAAGGGCAGCGAAACCGCGAGGUCAAGCAAAUCCCAUAAAGUUGUUCUCAGUUCGGAUUGUAGUCUGCAACUCGACUACAUGAAGCUGGAAUCGCUAGUAAUCGUAGAUCAGCAUGCUACGGUGAAUACGUUCCCGGGUCUUGUACACACCGCCCGUCACACCACGAGAGUUUGUAACACCCGAAGCCGGUGGAGUAACCUUUUAGGAGCUAGCCGUCGAAGGUGGGACAAAUGAUUGGGGUGAAGUCGUAACAAGGUAGCCGUAUCGGAAGGUGCGGCUGGAUCACCUCCUUU